This 680-nucleotide ribosomal RNA is filed under the name uncultured fungus. RNAcentral describes it as "eukaryotic LSU rRNA". The stretch from base 223 to 376 matches the Rfam family "5.8S ribosomal RNA". The record is from RNAcentral. Lineage: Eukaryota; Fungi.
CUUGGUCAUUUAGAGGAAGUAAAAGUCGUAACAAGGUUUCCGUAGGUGAACCUGCGGAAGGAUCAUUAUUGAAUUCAAAUCAUCUGUGGCUUCGGUCCGGAUGUGCCAACAGGUAACACUGUUGGUAAUUCUAUCCAUAACACCUGUGAACUGUUGGAUGCUUGCAUCCACUUUUAUACUAAACAUUAUUGUAACAAUUGUAGUCUUAUUAUAACAUAAUAAAACUUUUAACAACGGAUCUCUUGGCUCUCGCAUCGAUGAAGAACGCAGCGAAAUGCGAUAAGUAAUGUGAAUUGCAGAAUUCAGUGAAUCAUCGAAUCUUUGAACGCACCUUGCGCUCCUUGGUAUUCCGAGGAGCAUGCCUGUUUGAGUGUCAUGAAACUCUCAAACCCAAGUUUUGGAUUUCGAUCCAUGCUUGAGUUUGGAUUUGGAUGUUUGCCGGUGAUAAGCCGACUCAUCUUAAAAGUAUUAGCUAGAUCUGUCUCUAUGACUGGUUUGACUUGGCAUAAUAAGUAUUUUGCUGAGGACAUCUUCGGAUGGCCAGGACCUAGACUAUUGUCUGCUAACUAAACCAUCACUUUAAGUGCAUCUUUGGAUGUUACUCAUUGUGUAACUUUGACAUCUGGCCUCAAAUCAGGUAGGACUACCCGCUGAGCUUAAGCAUAUCAAUAAGCGGAGGA